This 494-nucleotide ribosomal RNA is filed under the name uncultured bacterium. Its description in RNAcentral is "partial 16S ribosomal RNA". It matches the Rfam family "Bacterial small subunit ribosomal RNA", at positions 28 to 507 of the family's 1533-position model. The record is from RNAcentral.
GACGAACGCUGGCGGCGUGCUUAACACAUGCAAGUCGAACGGUGAAGCGCCUUCCUUUUUGGUGGGUGUGGAUGAGUGGCGAACGGGUGAGUAACACGUGAGUAACCUGCCCCCUUCUUCUGGAUAACCGCAUGAAAGUGUGGCUAAUACGGGAUAUUCUGGGUCUGUCGCAUGAUGGGUCUGGGAAAGAUAUUGUUUCGGUAGGGGAUGGGCUCGCGGCCUAUCAGCUUGUUGGUGGGGUGAUGGCCUACCAAGGCGGUGACGGGUAGCCGGCCUGAGAGGGUGGACGGUCACACGGGGACUGAGACACGGCCCAGACUCCUACGGGAGGCAGCAGUGGGGAAUAUUGCACAAUGGGCGCAAGCCUGAUGCAGCGACGCCGCGUGAGGGAUGGAGGCCUUCGGGUUGUGAACCUCUUUCGCCAGUGAAGCAGGCCUGCCUCGUUUGUGGGUGGGUUGACGGUAGCUGGAUAAGAAGCGCCGGCUAACUACGUG